AGGAUGCGAGCGUUAUCCGGAUUUAUUGGGUUAAAGGUGCGUAGUGGUUAAUUAAGUCAGCGGUGAAAGUUUGUGGCUCAACCAUAAAAUUGCCGUUGAAACUGGUUGACUUGAGUAUAUUUGAGGUAGGCGGAAUGCGUGGUGUAGCGGUGAAAUGCAUAGAUAUCACGCAGAACUCCGAUUGCGAAGGCAGCUUACUAAACUAUAACUGACACUGAAGCACGAAAGCGUGGGAUCAAACAGG
RNAcentral lists this ribosomal RNA (244 nucleotides) under uncultured bacterium. RNAcentral describes it as "partial 16S ribosomal RNA". It matches the Rfam family "Bacterial small subunit ribosomal RNA", at positions 529 to 776 of the family's 1533-position model. The record is from RNAcentral.